GGAAGGUUGACUUAAAAGGAUGUAAUGCUCCUGUAUUUCCAGACCUCUGUGAUCUUGGGAAAGACCUACAGUAGCCUUCUAAGCCAUUCGCUGAGGAAACUCAGCCUGGAAGCUGAAUCUGUUGCUCUGGGAAGCUUAUCCUGCUGUUAAAAUAACAUGGAGCUGGACUCAACAAACGGUCCUGUGCUGCUUUGAACUGGGUGAUCACACAGGGAAAGGAGUGUCUUCUCUAGCUCAGGCUACUUCCUUGCGGUGUCACAAGGAGCGAAUGGAGAAACCUUUGGAUUCCUCAAUCAGCCAAAUGACACAGAAAGGGAAGUAAGGAAAUAUAAAUGACAAGAACUGAACCUAUACUGAAAAUCCAUCUGGAUCCUACUUAACUCGAAGGUGACCAUGACUCUUCCAUAAAAGACAUGACCAGACCAGAACAAAUGCAGAAGUGCAGAGGAAGAAAAAGGGGGUGAGGGGGAAGGAAGGCAAUACAAGGUUUGAAUGAGAUAAAAAAGAUGCUGUUGCUUUUCAUGAUUG
Molecule: long non-coding RNA, 528 nt
Organism: Melopsittacus undulatus (budgerigar)
Lineage: Eukaryota; Metazoa; Chordata; Aves; Psittaciformes; Psittaculidae
Exons: 4
Source: RefSeq, a predicted model, not a curated record